UGGGGAAUCUUGGACAAUGGGCGCAAGCCUGAUCCAGCCAUGCCGCGUGAGUGAUGAAGGCCCUAGGGUUGUAAAACUCUUUCGUGGGGGACGAUAAUGACGGUACCCCAAGAAGAAGCUCCGGCUAACUUCGUGCCAGCAGCCGCGGUAAUACGAAGGGGGCUAGCGUUGUUCGGAUUUACUGGGCGUAAAGCGCGUGUAGGCGGGCUGGAAAGUUGGGGGUGAAAUCCCGAGGCUCAACCUCGGAACUGCCUCCAAAACUUCCAGCCUGGACUCAAGUAGAGGCAAGUGGAAUUGCGAGUGUAGAGGUGAAAUUCGUAGAUAUUCGCAGGAACACCAGUGGCGAAGGCGACUUGCUGGACUUGUAGUGACGCUGAGACGCGAAAGCGUGGGGAGCAAACAGGAUUAGAUACCCCUGUAGUCCCUGAGCGGGCUGGCAAGGCGCAU
This 447-nucleotide ribosomal RNA is filed under the name uncultured bacterium. Its description in RNAcentral is "bacterial SSU rRNA". It matches the Rfam family "Bacterial small subunit ribosomal RNA", at positions 355 to 825 of the family's 1533-position model. The record is from RNAcentral.